Molecule: ribosomal RNA, 244 nt
Filed under: Blastocystis sp.
Lineage: Eukaryota; Bigyra; Opalinata; Blastocystidae
Description: partial small subunit ribosomal RNA
Rfam family: Eukaryotic small subunit ribosomal RNA
Source: RNAcentral
UAGUAGUCAUACGCUCGUCUCAAAGAUUAAGCCAUGCAUGUGUAAGUAUAAAUAGUUAACUUUGAAACUGCGAAUGGCUCAUUAUAUCAGUUAUAGUUUAUUUGAUGAAGAAUACUAAUUGGAUAACCGUAGUAAUUCUAGAGCUAAUACAUGUAUAAAGUCUUGUAGACUGCAUUUAUUAGAAUGAAAACCAUAGGUUUCGGCCUAUUCGUGAGUAAUAAUAACUAAUCAUAUCGUAUGCUUA